UGGGGAAUUUUGGACAAUGGGCGAAAGCCUGAUCCAGCAAUGCCGCGUGUGUGAAGAAGGCCUUCGGGUUGUAAAGCACUUUUGUCCGGAAAGAAAUCCUUGGCUCUAAUACAGUCGGGGGAUGACGGUACCGGAAGAAUAAGCACCGGCUAACUACGUGCCAGCAGCCGCGGUAAUACGUAGGGUGCAAGCGUUAAUCGGAAUUACUGGGCGUAAAGCGUGCGCAGGCGGUUUGCUAAGACCGAUGUGAAAUCCCCGGGCUCAACCUGGGAACUGCAUUGGUGACUGGCAGGCUAGAGUAUGGCAGAGGGGGGUAGAAUUCCACGUGUAGCAGUGAAAUGCGUAGAGAUGUGGAGGAAUACCGAUGGCGAAGGCAGCCCCCUGGGCCAAUACUGACGCUCAUGCACGAAAGCGUGGGGAGCAAACAGGAUUAGAUACCCUGGUAGUCCACGCCCUAAACGAUGUCAACUAGUUGUUGGGGAUUCAUUUCCUUAGUAACGUAGCUAACGCGUGAAGUUGACCGCCUGGGGAGUACGGUCGCAAGAUUAAAACUUAAAGGAAUCGGGGUCAUAGCUGUUU
Molecule: ribosomal RNA, 579 nt
Filed under: uncultured bacterium
Lineage: Bacteria
Description: partial 16S ribosomal RNA
Rfam family: Bacterial small subunit ribosomal RNA
Source: RNAcentral